AACGCACAUUGCGCCCUUUGGCAUUCCGAAGGGCAUACCUGUUCGAGCGUCAUUUCAACCCUCAAGCCUGGCUUGGUGUUGGGCGUUUUGUCCCGCUGCGCGCGCGGACUCGCCUCAAAAGAAUCGGCGUCUGCAUGUGGGCCUGAUGCGUAGUAAAAUUCGCAGACCAGGCUGGCGUGCUGGCGGCCGGAACGCAUAUAUCUUUUUGUUUGACCUCGGAUCAGGUAGGGAUACCCGCUGAACUUAA
This 247-nucleotide unclassified non-coding RNA is filed under the name uncultured Pleosporales. RNAcentral describes it as "sequence contains ITS2". The record is from RNAcentral. Lineage: Eukaryota; Fungi; Ascomycota; Dothideomycetes; Pleosporales.